UACAGAGGGUGCGAGCGUUAUUCGGAAUUACUGGGCGUAAAGCGCGCGUAGGCGGCUUUUCAAGCCGAUUGUGAAAUCCCCGGGCUUAACCUGGGAACUGCAGUCGGGACUGUCUAGCUAGAGUAUGGGAGAGGGAAGUGGAAUUUCAGGUGUAGCGGUGAAAUGCGUAGAUAUCUGAAGGAACAUCAGUGGCGAAAGCGACUUCCUGGAUCAAUACUGACGCUCAUGUGCGAAAGCGUGGGGAGCAAACAGG
This 253-nucleotide ribosomal RNA is filed under the name uncultured bacterium. RNAcentral's name for it is "partial 16S ribosomal RNA". It matches the Rfam family "Bacterial small subunit ribosomal RNA", at positions 524 to 776 of the family's 1533-position model. The record is from RNAcentral.